Long non-coding RNA from Priapulus caudatus, 172 nucleotides. RefSeq lists it as uncharacterized. The record is from RefSeq and is a predicted model, not a curated record. Lineage: Eukaryota; Metazoa; Priapulida; Priapulimorpha; Priapulimorphida; Priapulidae. The transcript is spliced from 3 exons.
GAGCCAGCCAAUCAGCGCCGGCCAGCAUCGUCGCUCGUUCGGCUUACGUCGCGCCCGCUGCCAUGCGCGAAUCCGGUGUCAUCGCGAACGUAGUGCCGCUGCCUGACACGUCUAAGCAAGACAAGAGACAAUGGCGCAAGGAUCUCGAGAAACAGAUGGAGGAGCAGAAGCA